Molecule: ribosomal RNA, 468 nt
Filed under: uncultured bacterium
Lineage: Bacteria
Description: partial 16S ribosomal RNA
Rfam family: Bacterial small subunit ribosomal RNA
Source: RNAcentral
GACGAACGCUGGCGGCGUGCUUAACACAUGCAAGUCGAACGGAAAGGCCCUGCUUUUGUGGGGUGCUCGAGUGGCGAACGGGUGAGUAACACGUGAGUAACCUGCCCUUGACUUUGGGAUAACUUCAGGAAACUGGGGCUAAUACCGGAUAGGAGCUCCUGCUGCAUGGUGGGGGUUGGAAAUUUUCGGCGGUUGGGGAUGGACUCGCGGCUUAUCAGCUUGUUGGUGGGGUAGUGGCUUACCAAGGCUUUGACGGGUAGCCGGCCUGAGAGGGUGACCGGCCACAUUGGGACUGCGAUACGGCCCAGACUCCUACGGGAGGCAGCAGUGGGGAAUAUUGCACAAUGGGCGGAAGCCUGAUGCAGCAACGCCGCGUGCGGGAUGACGGCCUUCGGGUUGUAAACCGCUUUCGCCUGUGACGAAGCGUGAGUGACGGUAAUGGGUAAAGAAGCACCGGCUAACUACGUG